GACGAACGCUGGCGGCGUGGAUUAGGCAUGCAAGUCGAACGGUAUCAUCCUUUCGGGGGUGAGAGAGUGGCGAACUGGUGAGUAACACGUAGGUUAUCUACCCUCAAGACGGGGACAACCCAGGGAAACUUGGGCUAAUACCGGAUGUGAGCAACUUUUAGUUGUUUGAAAGGUGGCGUAAGCUGUCGCUUGGGGAUGAGCCUGCGUCCUAUUAGUUAGUUGGUGAGGUAACGGCUCACCUAGGCAAUGAUAGGUAGGCGGCCUUAACGGGUGGUCGCCCACACUGGGAUUGAGAUACGGCCCAGACUCCUACGGGAGGCAGCAGUCGAGAAUAGUCUACAAUGGUCGGAAGACUGAUAGUGCGACGCCGCGUGAACGAUGAAUCCCUUCGGGGUGUAAAGUUCUUUUAUAUGUGAGCAGUGCUUCUUAUAUUAACAGUAUGGGGAAGAGAUAUUAGCAUAUGAAUAAGCAACGGCUAACUCCGUGCCAGCAGCCGCGGUAAACUAC
This 507-nucleotide ribosomal RNA is filed under the name uncultured bacterium. Its description in RNAcentral is "bacterial SSU rRNA". It matches the Rfam family "Bacterial small subunit ribosomal RNA", at positions 28 to 526 of the family's 1533-position model. The record is from RNAcentral.